This 450-nucleotide ribosomal RNA is filed under the name uncultured bacterium. RNAcentral's name for it is "partial 16S ribosomal RNA". It matches the Rfam family "Bacterial small subunit ribosomal RNA", at positions 354 to 796 of the family's 1533-position model. The record is from RNAcentral.
GUGAUGAAUAUUGGGCAAUGGGCGAAAGCCUGACCCAGCCACGCCGCGUGAGUGAUGAAGGCCUUCGGGUUGUAAAGCUCUGUGGGGAGGGAAGAAAAAGCGGGAGAGUAACUGCUCUCGUGUUGACGGUACCUCCUUAGCAAGCACCGGCUAACUCUGUGCCAGCAGCCGCGGUAAUACAGAGGGUGCAAACGUUGCUCGGAAUUACUGGGCGUAAAGCGCGUGUAGGCUGACAUGCAAGUCGGGUGUGAAAUCCCAGGGCUCAACCUUGGAACUGCACUCGAAACUGCACGUCUUGAGUACUGGAGAGGGAAGCGGAAUUCCGGGUGUAGAGGUGAAAUUCGUAGAUAUCCGGAGGAACACCAGUGGCGAAGGCGGCUUCCUGGACAGUAACUGACGCUGAGACGCGAAAGCGUGGGGAGCAAACAGGAUUAGAAACCCCGGUAGUCC